ACAAGCGGUGGAGUAUGUGGUUAAUUCGAUGCAACGCGAAGAACCUUACCUGGUCUUGACAUCCCGGAGACCCUUAGGAAACUAGGGGUGCUUCCAUCUGGAAGAGUCUGGAGACAGGUGCUGCAUGGCUGUCGUCAGCUCGUGUCGUGAGAUGUUGGGUUAAGUCCCGCAACGAGCGCAACCCUUGCCUUUAGUUGCCAGCAGUUCGGCUGGGCACUCUAAAGGGACUGCCGGUGUUAAACCGGAGGAAGGUGGGGAUGACGUCAAGUCCUCAUGGCCUUUAUGACCAGGGCUACACACGUACUACAAUGGCCGAUACAAAGGGCAGCGACACUGCGAGGUGAAGCCAAUCCCGUAAAAUCGGUCUCAGUCCGGAUUGGAGUCUGCAACUCGACUCCAUGAAGUUGGAAUCGCUAGUAAUCGUGGAUCAGCAUGCCACGGUGAAUACGUUCCCGGGCCUU
RNAcentral lists this ribosomal RNA (461 nucleotides) under uncultured Desulfobulbus sp. RNAcentral describes it as "bacterial SSU rRNA". It matches the Rfam family "Bacterial small subunit ribosomal RNA", at positions 925 to 1382 of the family's 1533-position model. Lineage: Bacteria; Pseudomonadati; Thermodesulfobacteriota; Desulfobulbia; Desulfobulbales; Desulfobulbaceae. The record is from RNAcentral.